Long non-coding RNA from Myripristis murdjan (pinecone soldierfish), 125 nucleotides. RefSeq lists it as uncharacterized. The transcript has 3 exons. Lineage: Eukaryota; Metazoa; Chordata; Actinopteri; Holocentriformes; Holocentridae. The record is from RefSeq and is a predicted model, not a curated record.
UAGUCCACACAGAUGUGUUAAAGGCCCAUUUAUGCUCCGUUUACGUACGAAAAUGUAUACGUCCGUUUCAAACGAUGUUACCGUCACUGCCCACGUACUUCCAUGCGUCCUUUACGUUGGCAUGG